Long non-coding RNA from Saccostrea cuccullata (small rock oyster), 183 nucleotides. RefSeq lists it as uncharacterized. The record is from RefSeq and is a predicted model, not a curated record. Lineage: Eukaryota; Metazoa; Mollusca; Bivalvia; Ostreida; Ostreidae. The transcript has 3 exons.
AGUUUGGGACCAUAAAUGGAGAAGCUUACCGAAGAUAGGGCCUUUCAAGUGAAGGAGAGUAAGGAAAGUGGUUGGGGUAUUCCAAGAUGUGAAGAAUCCUGUCUUUUGUGUGGAAUUCAAGAUACUGAUCAACUUUUACCACAAGAAGAAGCAUUUGCCUCCAGGGUACCAUAGACAUGUGGC